UUGAAAGGGAAACGAUUGAAGCCAGUCGUACCUUCGGGUAAUCAGCCUUUCGGGUGCGAUUCUGUGGAGUUUGAGGAGUUUAACACCUUCAUGCUUUGCAUAUUUGUGCUCUUGGGUGUACUUGCCCGUGUGGUUGGUUAACAUCAAUUUCGGACACCAUAAAAUGGCUGGAGGAAUGUAGCUUCGAUCUUGUAUUGAAGUGUUAUAGCCUCUGGUAGAUGUGGUGAACGAAACUGAGGAUUGCAACGAAUACCCUUCGGGCUAUCCGUCUGACCUCUGAAAGUUGCUUGGGUGCCGAAAGCUUGCUUACGGUCAUCCAUGACGACGGUCAAAAGGUUAGAACGCGAUUACAUUCGUUAAGGAUGUUGACGUA
Molecule: ribosomal RNA, 373 nt
Filed under: uncultured Glomeromycotina
Lineage: Eukaryota; Fungi; Glomeromycota
Description: LSU rRNA
Source: RNAcentral